This 306-nucleotide ribosomal RNA is filed under the name uncultured bacterium. RNAcentral's name for it is "partial 16S ribosomal RNA". It matches the Rfam family "Bacterial small subunit ribosomal RNA", at positions 507 to 809 of the family's 1533-position model. The record is from RNAcentral.
GACAGCAGUAGCCGCGGUAAUACGGAGGGGGCUAGCGUUGUUCGGAAUUACUGGGCGUAAAGCGCACGUAGGCGGCUUGGUAAGUUAGAGGUGAAAGCCUGGAGCUCAACUCCAGAAUUGCCUUUAAGACUGCCGAGCUAGCAGGUGAGAGAGGUAAGUGGAAUUCCGAGUGUAGAGGUGAAAUUCGUAGAUAUUCGGAAGAACACCAGUGGCGAAGGCGGCUUACUGGCUCAUACUGGACGCUGAGGUGCGAAAGCGUGGGGAGCAAACAGGAUUAGAUACCCGCGUAGUCCCUGUCUCUUAUAA